Vicugna pacos (alpaca) is the source of this 11303-nucleotide non-coding RNA. NCBI's taxonomy places the organism in Eukaryota, Metazoa, Chordata, Mammalia, Artiodactyla, Camelidae. The record is from RefSeq and is a predicted model, not a curated record.
UGCUGCUGUGAACAUUGGGGUGCAUGUAUCUUUUCGAAUUGUAACAACCAGUAUUUUUUUAAACAACUUUUGAGACUCUUACCAGACUCUGACCAUUCACUGUACAUGAUACUGUAUAAUGAUUCCAUUUGAUGUCUAUAGUCCAUAUUUCCUGCUGUUUUUGCUGGGUGUUUUUUAAGCACUUUAGUCCCCUGUGGCUACACUAUCAGAGAAAUGUGAGUGGUUAUGACUCUUAAUACAGAGCCAAAUAAAAUCUUUAAACAACAAUCCACUAAAGGUACUUUACUGGUACAUACUUUUAAGUGAAUCAUUAAUAGUAUACUCUCUAUGUAGUUGCUAUUUGGGGUCUGGAGGGGCAGAUAGAAGGAGAUGAAAAAAUAGCCUAAAUUGCAUUUAGAGUUUCCAGUGUUCCAAAGCCUGGAUAUAAAUGAAAGAUGAGCAUUUCUACUUAAUUUAUCUGGCUAGAUUCCUGUGCCUAAUGGCUGCAUAUAUACCAUAAACACUGUGAAGAAGCAACCAUGGAAACACUUGUUUUCUUGUUGGGCUAAAUUUACUCUGGGUUGAAUAUUAACACAGUGCCUGGCAGUACUUUAAAAGCAAAAAUAGCUUAAGCGUGACUCACUCUGAGUCAUUUAUUGCUAGUGUGGCUAUACUGCCUAGAGCUUGACAUUGAACAAGUUGGCAGCCUGUAUUGCUACAUUUUUUCUAGGAACUCUGAACACAUUUCAUUCUUGUGAAUUUGCUUGUGCAAGAUAUUAAAUAGAGUAAUAUGUUUAUUUUGUUUCAAAGUCAAAUGAAUUUGAGAAUGGUGCAACUAAAGUAUUUUUCUUGGGCUUUCUGGAAAAGCCAGAUUCUCAGAAUUCUCCUGUGGUUAAGGACUUACUUUAUUUUAUAAAGAAUUAAUAAAAUGUCACAGAGGUUUUGUUUCAGAUGCUUGGGCUUUUCUGAUUGAAAACAUCAGACUGCUCUGAAAAUCAUUGCAAAAAACAAACCUAAGUCAUACUGCCAAGUAGGAGUCAUUAAUUUUUCUGACAUUACCUGACAAGAUGGAUUGUACCAUUCAGAAAGGUUUUUCUUUUCUUUUUCUUUCUUUUUUUUUUGGCGGGGGAAGCUUCUUCCUUUAAAAAAAAAAAAUAUGGUGAGGCGUGCAGCGUAGCCUGCAUUGUAGUUUAGUUGGGUGUAUGACUGUAAACUUCUCUCUUGUUAUUAAAGAUUAUAUAAUGGGAAGUUCAUUGGUUUUGAAAGGCAGACCAAACCCACCCCCGGGAUUUCUAUUGGCCCUUUAAAUGUGUUGCGUGCCUUUCCCUGGGUAACCCGUGUGGUUGAGGAAGGAGUGAAUAGCUUGUUGGCUGACUGCAGGAAAGCCUCUGAAGGUUCAGUUGAUCUCAUCUGGGCUGGGGGCAGGAAUGGCUGGAAAUCGAAAACUAUGUAUAUGAGAAUGGUUUUCCCUUGAUGUUGCAAUCUUUACUUUAACAUGUUUUUGUGUUUAGUUGAUGGAGUUGCCUAACAGUAUAAUUUCAAUUGAGCCUCAGUUUCAGCUCUUUUAUUAUAAACUGUGGGGAACAGGAUCUUUUUUUUUCCUCCUAUUUAAAGGCACUACCAUUUUUGCCUUAGGCUUUCAAUGAUUUGUAUAGAAAGGCAGCCUAAAACCAAAAUGAGCCUAAGCUAAUGCUUGAUAUUAUUUUGAAAUUGUUUUACCAUAAAAUUCUUACAUAAGGAGAUGUAACCCUGGCAGGGAGUUUCAACAUAGUUGCAUAAAUUGUGUUUCAUAUUAUAACUUGUUCUCUACUUGACUUCAUUGAAAUUAAUAAAAGGACUCUUUCAGGAGGAUCUGGUGAGUUAGCAUCAUUAUUGAAAAAAAAAAAGGAAAGGAAAGAACUUACUCAUAAUGUAUCCUGUGUUGCUAAGUUUUCAAAGUUAGCUAUCUCAACCACACCCAAAAAGCCCUUUCAGAAGACUGAAAUCCAUGUAUUCAUUUAUGCUGGCUUAGAAUUUUCUUCCCAGUAACAUAAAAAGUAAAAGAGCUGAGGUUUAUAUGAAAUUUCCCCAAGAUAUAUGAUGAUUUCAUGAAAAAGUAGCAUUUGGAAAUUGAGUUGCAGCCAAGCCUUGAAUGUAACAUGUAGUUCCUUAUUCUGUGGUUAAAGAGAUCCUUUAAAGCAGGGCUUUCCGGCAUGGGUGCUAAAAAUAUCCCCAAGGUGCUUUUUGUACCCCAAGGGGGGUACCAUCCCCCUGUCUGAAAUCUAGAGGAGAGAAUGCCAGUCCUGCUAUAGCCUUCCCUUGCGUCUUGGUCAUGUGGUCUCUUUGCUGCUAUAUUUUGGCCGCAUAUAAAUGAGUUAUUUGCAUGUUUUGAAAAUUAACAAGAUUUAGUUAACCAGCCCUUGUUGGGUUGUAAACACAGGGGGCCUAAUCUAAAUAAGUCUCAGCUUAACCCAGAAGCCACUCUCUUCUUAUGCAGUGACAUAGAUGUGUUUUGUCCAUAGAAAUACAUUAAUUAAAACAACGUAAAGACUUCACUCAGGGUCUAGCAUAAAGUAGGCACUUAAUAAAAGCUCAUUAAAUCUGAAUUUAUUUAUACAGCAAAUAUUAAACCUUAUUUGAUCUACAAAGCUUUGUUCCUUCCCUUUCAUUCAUCCCUAUACUCAUUUAUGAGCUCUUAUUAUAUGCCAGAAACUGAGAUAUUUGAGACAAAAAAUUAGUAAGCCUUCAAGAAGUACAUUCUUAAUUUGGAAAGGCAGAUGUGCAAGUUAUUGAAUACAUUAGUCAUAUGCUUUUUUUUUUAAGUCUAGAUACAAAGAUGUCAUUACCUUGCAGGAGUAACUUAAAAAACAAAAAACAAAGACAAUUACUGACUUCUCUGAGCACUUCCUGUUUACCCAGCUCUGUUUAAGGUGCUGUGAGUUAGGUGGUGGUAUCAUCUCCAUCUUACAGAGGAGGAUAUUGAGGCUCAUAGAGGUUGAGCAAUUUGCCCAACUUCAUAUUCAUGAUUCAGACCCAGGAAAUCUGGCUGCAGAGUCCAUGCCCUUAACCAUUACGUAAACUGCCUCUUGUUGACUGGCUUUGGGGAGGAAAAAGAAAGAACUCUAAGAAGUAGGAGAAAACGGGAAGUCAGCCCACCAUGAUAAUGUGCCCUCUUUGGUGAGAUGUUAGUGUUUUGUUUUGUUUUGUUUUGUUUUAAAUCGGUGGUGAUUUGGGAGUACUUUAGCUAAAAUCUGUUGCUCAAAUGAAGCAGCUUCGUAAGUGGGCUCCACCUGAGGGUGAUUUACCACAUAGCCAGCAUAUCUCUUAGGCUAUAUGUGCUAAUCCCUAAAAUGAGCUGAGUCUGGGAACCUGGUGUUCUUUCACAUUACCUCAGAGACUAAAAUCAGCUCUGAAACCAGGGCUGGGUUCUGCCACGCGGAGAGGCUCUGUGGGCCAGUGCCUGGAAACAACACGGCCGACAGGGAAGCCUUCUCCUUCAAUGGAAGGCAGUGCUUCUUCUCAUCUCAUGGCUCCUUUAAGCUCUGUGACAACCUCUUUCUGUCCUUGCAACGCCAUUACCCUCAAACCCAACAAUUCUUUUUUAGAGGCAACACUCCCAGAUGGUUCUUCAGAGCCCUGCAGCUCUUGUUUCUUUCUUGGCCUUGUCCAAGUUCCUGAGAGCUGCAAGAGACGUAGGAGUCAAACCAUCAGCUCACCCUGUUCCCAUGAGCAGUGGGCGGCCAGCAUCCCCCUGCGAUGCAGGGUCUGAGGGUACAGCCAGUGAACAAGCUUUUCCAGGAAGGUCCCCGCUAAUUCAUUUGUUUCAUACUGUGCUUUGGGGUACAUUUGUUUUUAUUUAGUAAGAUACUCCCUUUUUAUUUCUCAGUACAUUUUAUAGGGAAGUGGCCUCUUAACAUGGGAGCGAAUUACACUUAUUUGCUGAACAAAGUUGUUUGCAAGGACACUUGAGUUUUUUCACUUCGGGCAGGACAGCUUUUGGCAGCUACAGACAAAAUUAUCAGACUUUUUGGUGAAGAAGGAAACAGCACAGUUUAACUAGAGAGUGAAUGCCUUUCCCAGUACAAUAGUAGCAUUUUCUUAUUUUUCAAGUAAUGAUUUCCAAAAGAUGAUUUUUAAUUAUUCUGCUUUCAUCAAAGUGUAUCCUCCCAUCUCUGAAGUUACCACCCUCUUAGCACCCACAUGUGCGACACUUAACAAUUCUUUACACUUUUGAGUCAGUGCAACCUUUAUAUUUAUUUGUUUAAAAAAAAGAAUGCUUAAAAUUUUCUUCAAGAAAAACAGAAUCAAGCAUUUUGUCUUGAGCUUUUCCCCCCUGCACAUAUUGGGAGUCCAGAUGAUGCACUUUGGAAAGAAAUGCAUUCCUACCCUGAAGGGAUUAGGAUUUUUGAUUAAAUAUUCUCAUGGUCUCAUCUUUGUGUGGACUUUCUUUCAAACAUGCCCAAUCCUGAGGUUUUGUAAUAACAUUUUAUAAAUUUUCCAGGAAAGGAAGGUGACUAUGCAGUUAUCAGAUGGUAACUUUUAAUCAUGGGACAUUCGCGUGGGUCUUUUGCAACUGAAGACAGUGCAUCCUUUGUAAUUGAAGAUAGUGCAGUGAGGACGUGGGAUGGCCAGGAAUAGAGAGUAGAGGUGAACAGCUGCUCUUCUGCUUCAUGCUACCUUAUACCUGCAGCUGGGAUCAGUUCUAAUCUCAGCCUUGAUGCUUGGGGACCUUGAGAUGCUUUGGGAAGCCAGUUUGGGUAUUGCAGACCACUCUAGAUUAGUGUUUUUGUAGGUUUUCACUUCCUGACUCCUGGAAGAAGGAAUACCACUUGUCGGAGAGGGAGUGGGAUGACUUAAGAAUAAAAGUGUGGUUUAGGAAAUGAGGAAGUCGGGUGUGGGUAGAAAAGAUGGAGAAGCAGAGGAAUAAACAAGAAUAGAGGAGAAAAUUUAGGGAGGAAAACAAUGGAGAAACAACUUUCUCUCUCCCCCUUACCCCUCCCUGUUUGACAAUCUGGUUAUUUUCGCUUUCUCCCUUAGCUGCUGCUUUUCCCUGCCCCUUCGAUGGCACCACCCUCCAGAACUCUCCUCCCUCUCUCUCAUCUGUGUGUCCUUCCCAACCCCCUGUCUUCACCCACUGAUCCACCUCCAUCACUGUGCUUUUAGUGGCUCCAUCCCACUUUGUAGAGGGGUCCUCCAGGGAGUGCCACAUUCACAGCCAUCGUUGGUGCAGCUGAUAUUCUAUGGUCACUCGGGGUCUGUUUCAGAAUCAGCCUUUACUACCCAACAAGCUUAAUCAACCUUCCAGGCUCCAUUCAAGUCAGAAUGAACUGCUGUACUCAUUCCUGUCUGUCUUCCAAUUGGGUUGGACAGUCUCCAAAUCUGUGAGACACGAGACAGGAGAGGACUUGCCAUGUCCUCGACACUGGGGGUAGAGAUCUCCUUAAUGGUGUCCGCAUGGGUUCUGCAGAUAAUAGUCAGAAAGUGUGGGGAUUGUCCCUGAUCCGUGGAAAGGGUGACUGCAGCUCAAAGAGAGCAAGUUACACAGCUGACAAGUGGCUGAGCUGGAAUGCCGACCACGUCUUUCCCCUGCAGACCUGGUGCUUUGCUGCCUACUAACGAGUCAGAUGUUUAUUUACUCUGCUUUCUAUUUAGAAUUAAGGCAGACUUUUCUUAAUUUUUUUUAAAUUUCAGACUUUAUUAUUUAAUUUGAUAUUUUAAAUAAAGGAACCUAGUUGGUCAUUGAGUCACAACGCAGGACUUCAUUUUCUAUUGAUAUCUUUUUUAAAACUAUUGCAUUAACCUUCAAUGUUUAAUGAUGUCUACACAAAUAUAUUGUGAUUAAUAGUAAAAGUCAGGAAGCCUUUUACUGGACUAAUAAAAUGUUUUAGUAUUUGCAAAUCUGGUUGAGCUUUAAUUAGAACUUCUGGGUAUUCAAGCCUUUUUAAAAUUACUUUUCUAACUAUACAAAUGUGUACAUUGUAAAAAAUUAUUCAGAUAAUAUAAAAGACAAAAGAUAAAAAUCACCUGUAGUUCCACCACUCAGAGAUAACCACAUAUUAGUGUCCUCUGUAUUUCCAUAUUCUUUUUUCUUAUAAAGUACAUACUUGCAAAAUUGGGAUCAGUUUUACAUCUUGAUUAUUUCACUUAUGAUAGUGUGAGCACAUUAAGUACUUGAAGACACGAUUUUAAAUUGAUAUCUAAUAUUCCAUUUAUGUACUUAUCAUGAUUUUCCUCUUUGAACUAUUACCUUCUACUAAUAUUCACUCACUGAAGAUCUGUCAGUUGCUGACAAUUGAUACUAUCAGUUUAAAAAUUUAAAAAUUAUAUCUUAUUCUUUGUACUUAGUCUGAAGUAUCAAAAAAUUACCAUUUGUAGGUCAUUUUUUGUUUUUAUUUAUUGUAAAGAUUAAAUAAUAAUAUGUUUUUCAGGUCGAAGUUGUUUUCUAAAAAUUACUUCAAAAGUCUAAACAAGUGAUUGGUGUUUUGUUCUGGUAAAAAUUUACUCCUUUUGCAAAUGUUUUGAUGCAUUUAUUUAUUCAAUCAGCAGACCUUUAUUAAAUCCCUUCCAGUACAGGGUGUUAACUGCUGAGAAUAAAAAGAAGAAAAGCAUGCUUUCUGCCUUCAAGAAGCUUGUAAUUCAUGCAGGUAUCAAGUUAGAAGACAAUGUUGAAAAGUUAGGUAUGUGCUUUUUUAAAAACCUUUUUAUUAUGGAACAUUUCAACAUACAAAGUAGGCACAGUAGAAGAUGGACUUCUGUGUACUCAGCUCUACCUUCAAGAAACAGUCAGCAACUCAUAGCUAAUUUUGUUUCAUCUCCAUCCUCUGUGACCUCUCCCUUCACAUAUUACUGGGAAGCAAAGAUGCGUUUUUCUCCUCUCCCAUCUCCUCUCUCUGCUUCCACCCACCUCUCUCUUUUGUUUACUUUUUCAAGUAUGUAGAAAUAUUCUUAACAUUCUUUUAAAAUAUAAUCAUUAUGUACCAAACAAUGUAGGUUAGUAGUUUAGACCAAAGUAUUGUUGUUCUGUGUGUGAAGGAGCUAUUCUCCCAAAAGAAACUAGCAGGUAAACAAAAUAUUUUAUUUCCCAAGAUUUUCAUAUGAUGGUGACCAACUCCAUUGCAAAACAAUGAUCACAUUCCAGAGUUGUAAGUACUUCUGGAGGAUUUGUUACACAACUGCCAACUCUGUCAUCUUCUACAGAAAUGUGAUCUUACAGAAAAAGUGAAGAGUCUGAUGCAUGACAGAUCACUUUUUAAGAUGCUUUUUGAAUUUUUUUUCUGUCAUGUAAUAGUCCUCAAGCUUUUGACCUCUAGCUAGGCAACAAAAAGCAUCCAACUGAAACUUCAGAAAUAUUGUAAAACUAUAAUAAACUCUGCUUUAAGAGUGUAGCUCAGGGUUGUAACAUGCCACUCAGAAGUCAGAAUCCACUUAAAAGGAUUUCAAAAGCACAAUAAAUAAGGAUCACCUAUCUUAUUAAUUUAUAUUGAUCUUUUUUGAUUUUCAUCAUUUUUUGAUUUGGGCCUUAAUAAGAUAAAAAUACAAAUAAUUUAAAACCCUAAAGAUAUUUAAUUCUUUUAAAUGUUAUUUAUGUAGAAUUUUUCUUCCUUAGGUCAAAUGGAGAGUUUGUUUUGAUUUUUAACGAGGCAUUGCUAAGUUUUGCCCACUGCAAUAAUUGAAUAGUCAGUAACUGUGCAUGUCUCAGUUGUUUUGAGGCUUUUAUGUGUUGUUGAAAAUUUUUUUCCAAAAUAAAAAGAAUAUAAAUGUACUUUUAUUUUAAAAUAUUUCAAGCCAUAUUUGUACCAAAGUAAGGAGGUUGCCCUGUAUGCAAGUGCAGAGGAUUGUGGGCUGGGGAUGACAGAGAAAUGGAGGGAGUGAAACUCACAUGGUAAGAACGUCAUGACUCCAGAAAUGUUGCAGAUUGCAGAUCUAGGUCAGUUUCUGUCAGGGACAUCACCAUGCCACCAGUCUUCCCUGCUGAAAACCUAGAAGAAAUCUUUAUCUUUUCCUCUCUCAUUCUCUACACCCAACAAAUAGAUCUUUUUUGAUUAUUUGUUUAGAAAAAUCUCUUGGCUUUAUCUUUUUCGUUCCCAUGACCAGGGCAUCAGUUCUGAUCUUUAUCAACAUAUACAUCUGGACAGUAAUAGCAGUUGAGAAGAAAUGAACUAAGGCAUUUUGAUCAUGCCAUUGUAUGUACAGUUAAUUCUUAAAACAGUCCUGAGCAUUAGGACAGUCUUUUCAUUUUUCAGAUUAUGUAAAGUGGGCAAGCUCUUUCAAGUAGGUUGGAUUGCUAAGGAAUCUCCUUACUCUGAGUCCUUCUUCCUCUGUAAUGCAUUCUAUAAAAGCAUACCAAGAUAAUCUCCCUAAAAUGUAACUGUAUGUAAUACAAUAACUACUCAAUAAAACUCUGAUCCAGCACUUUACAAAAUUACCAGAGAUUUUUCACAUUUGAUCUUAUUCUGCACAAACUGCUUCAUGAGGUUAAUAUCUCAUGUUAUUACUUCAUAAAGUAACCUGUGAUGACUUCUAUUUCCCAUCAAGCCAAUUAUAAACUUCUAAUAUUGAUGACAUUCCACGUUUUAUGCUCUGGCUUUAUGUCCGGUUACUCCUCUCUCUCAGUGUAAACUGGAGUUCACUUUAGCCAUGGGAAUGAACUUCCUUAUGGUCCUCUCUGGGUACCAUUCUCAUUUCUUCCCUAAUGUCUGCUCACAGCCAGCUCUUGUUCACCAAACCCACAUCCCCACACUUCUGUCCUCCAGCUUAAACUCUACCAGUCUUUCAGGGCUCAUUUCAAAUCCUACCUUUUCAAAGAAGCCUCUCCCAAUAAUUUCUGUCUUCCUAGCUAUUUUUGGUUCUUGGAUUCCAUUGUCAGAUAUGUUUGCCUUUAAAUACAAUUUAAAAAAUUCCCCUCAGCAAUAAAAGUAAUAUAUGCUUUGUGUGAAAAUAUUAUAUAGGAUAUUAGAAAGUCAAGAGAUAACUCCUGGCUUCCCAGUCUGGAGAAGUAACCACUGUUGUUUGUCUUUAUGGUUGUAUUUCUGCAUAUAAACAAGAAUAUGCACAGACACAUGUAUACACACACACACCUAUUUACACACAUAGAGAUAGCUAUAGAUAUAUUUUACACACAUACACUGUCCUGCAGUUUUCUUUUUCCCCUGGACGAUGUAUCUUAAAAAUCUUUCCCUGUUAGUAAAUGUAAGUGAUUUCAUUUAAACGUAUCUCUUUAUUGCCUCAAAUUGUUUCAUGUCAGAUUGUUUUCUGCAUAUGCUUCUUAUCCUCCUUCACAAAAAGGCAAGGAAAACUCCUCAAGGCAAGAGUCAUCACAUAUUCAUUCUCUUUUCCAUUCCUUUACUCCUCACUUUGCGCAUUUACUGCACAAAGAAAAAUUUCAGUAUUUGUGCUGUGGGAAAUCGAAGCUAUUUAUUUCUCAUAACCCCGAAGAAGUUAGGAUCUAGUAGGUAAGAAUCUCCAUUUAUACAUAUAACUGCAACACAGGAAGAAAUUGAGAAGUGACACAAAUAUUUGUUAAUGGAAAUAUAGCUAAUUAAGUUAUUCGAACAAUUCUCCUACUGAAAAUGAUCAAAACUGUUGAAUAUGUAUGAGAAAACAUCCUCAAAGCAGCAAAGGCCUGAAAAUCUAAGGAAAUCUAAGGAAAAGCGAGAGUUUAGGGAAGGUUAGAGAACUGAAGCUGCUUUUGCCCAGAGGACGUUUGCUGAUCCAGGCGAAUUCAGACUUUGCCUGCCUCAUGGGUGGUAAGACUACACAGAAAGCUAGGAAAUAACUAACACAAAAUUUAGCAUAAUGAUUUUUUGAGGGGAAGGGAGUUUCUGGAGUACUCAGAAUUCUCUUUUUAUUGACUUGAUGGGAGCUGUAUAUGGUAAUUUAUUUUCUAACCUGAGCAUGUUUAUUUUAUAUGCUUUUCCAUAUACAUGUCAUAAAAUUCAUAACAAAGAAUUUUAAAAAAAGUUAUAAAACAAUAUAUAUGGUCUCACACAUGUGUGCAUCCUACAUAAAUGUAUACGUGCAUGUGUGUAUUACAUAAAUGGAAUGUGUAAUAGUAUAAAUCUCACAUUGAUAUAAUAAAUAGAAAUUUAUGUUUAUUUAUAAGAAUAUAUGUGUUUUGGUGAUGGAGAAGUGUGUGUGUGUGUUUCAUAUACGUAGAAAAAGAUGUGGAAAGAGUGUUCACCAAGUGCUGAGGACAACCCUGAGAGGUAGAACAGAGAUGGGGAAGGAGCAAGAAAGGAGCUUAUUACACUUUGUGCUUCAAACCACUGUUGUUAAUUUUUAAAAAUAAUUAUCAUUAUUACUUAGUAUUUAAAAAUAGAUUUUUAAAAAUGAAAAAAAUUUUAAAAAUAGAAAAAAAGGCUUUUGUCUCUGCCCUUAGAUAUGAAAGUACUCCCUCUGCCAGGCUCCAUAUCACUUGGCAUAGUACCUUUUUUUUUUUUUUAAAUGUCUUUUUCCUUUGCUAGACUGUAAGCUCUUCAAGGGGACAAGACAAUUUUUGUCUUUAUAUUUCUUGUACCUGGUUAAUCCUGGCACAUAGGAGUGGAUCUCUAAAUACUAGUGGAAAAUGCAUGAAUAAACGUACCUUAAGAAGAACCUAGGAUUGCAGACAUCCAGUGGGUGUAACAUUUCCUUACAGGCUCUUGUUAUACUUUUUGAAUAUUCUUUUGUAUCUGGCACAGCAGUGGGCGUAAAGUUGGCACAGUGAAUACAGGUUGAUUUGAAUUUAACUGACACUUUGUGGAACCUGUAGGCAAUGUGGAGUCCACCACGUGGUGCCCCUCUUGAUCCCAGAAAGCAGGAAAAUGAAACACUGUCUGAAAAUUAAAACUAAAAAACGAACACCUAAUAGAAUUAAAGCCAAGAGAGACAAUGUGAUCUUAUGAGACAUCAAGACCCCUUGGGCAGAAAGAUUUGCCUGUAACUUAAUUGGGAGGUUACUGACAUCUUAAAAACACACAAACGUAGAAAAUCUCUGUCAGAAGAGCAUUUUCUCUGUCUCCAAAACAGAGAAAAAGAAAAGCUAUGAAUGUAAUUGUCAUGAUACCUAACAAAGCACUGUCUGACCAGUAGCACCUGCCAGGUUGAGGCAAGCAGGCAGCCUGCCUGGCAGGUGGAUAGCCCAGUGGUAAGAGAGCUGCAGAGCCUCACGCCAUUUUGCACUGGAAUCCUGCGUAAUUAACUCCACUUGCUCUACUUCUGUGCGCACCAAACUUCCCCUCUGGUAAUUCGCCUUCCCGAGGAGAUAAUUCACUAUCAGGCUGGUACAGACUGAUGCAGAGAUUCAGUAUGCCUGAUUCUUCUGUUGUUCACUGUAAAUAAUAAAGUCACCUUCUUGUUUUUUUAUA